UGAGCCGAAGUCAGAUGCUCAACCCACUGAGCCACCCAGGCGCCCCUGUCCAUCUCCUUUAGGAGACUGUGUGUUCCUCAGAAACAAGGACCGUGUCUUAUUUCAUUUUCCUUUGUAUCCUCCACAGCCCAAAGCAUCCCCAGAGACCACUUGGUCAAACUUUUCCACUCGCUUCUGAGAACCUAAGUGCCGUGAGUUAAGCAGUUGGACCAGAAGGAGAACCCGGACCUCCUCGGUUGCAGUCCCGGGAUUCCCGGCCACGGCUGUGGCAACAAGGCAGCUCAGGUGGGACGUCAGUUGUGAAGCUGGACGUAAAUACACUCCGAGCAAGGGAGAGAUCACAGGCUGGAUGCUCUGAUGGAUGACCGACCUACGUACUCGCUGCCUCCAGAGCAGGUGCCCGGUUAGCGCCUCACUGCCUGCAUCGUCACCUGCCACGUGUUGAGGUGACAUACUUACGUGUUGGUUAAAUCACAGAUGUUGCUAACAUC
Molecule: long non-coding RNA, 491 nt
Organism: Herpailurus yagouaroundi (jaguarundi)
Lineage: Eukaryota; Metazoa; Chordata; Mammalia; Carnivora; Felidae
Exons: 2
Source: RefSeq, a predicted model, not a curated record